RNAcentral lists this small RNA (60 nucleotides) under Arabidopsis thaliana (thale cress). RNAcentral describes it as "ATSL244390". Lineage: Eukaryota; Viridiplantae; Streptophyta; Magnoliopsida; Brassicales; Brassicaceae. The record is from RNAcentral.
CAAGUUUUACACAAUCUAUUUGACACACAAGUCCUUUGAUGCUAAGUCCUCUGUUUUCGG